GAGGGUGUUAUAAGACUUGCUAACUCUUUAAUCUGGAACCAGCCACCAGCACCCUCU
RNAcentral lists this transfer RNA (57 nucleotides) under Senticolis triaspis. RNAcentral describes it as "tRNA-Ser". Lineage: Eukaryota; Metazoa; Chordata; Lepidosauria; Squamata; Colubridae. The record is from RNAcentral.